GGUGAGCUGGGAACCUACCUUUGUGUGAACUCAGUCCACACUGCAAUCCUUGUCAAUCCACAUCCAGAGAGGAAGACUUUGCCAUCUUUUGUCUUUGGAAGCCCAACAGGAGGGGCGAAGCAGGACGCCUGAGGAGGUGCUGCCUCUCCGGCUCUGCUGAGAGCCCCCCAACCUACCUGAGGCUGGAUCUGAACCUGACUAGAGCCUAAUAAUGAAGCCAACAUGGAAACCAGGAGAAGAGGCGAAAAAUCAGAAAAAGUUCCAGGAUGAUACGGAUUUUGAGCUGGGCCUUGAAGAAUGGGUUGGAUUCCAGUAGAAGAAAGUGGGGAAAACAUUUUAGGGGGAAGAAACAGGUGAGCAAAAGCCUGGGUGUGAUGGAGAGUGAAAUGUGAUUGAGGGCCCGCUGAGGACAGGCACACAGGUCAGAGCAGGCUGCCGUGGUCGUAUGUGUGCAGCUAAGGAAUUUCUACUUUUCAAGCCUCCUGACCCCCAGCAAUAUAUCAGGGACUGAGAUGUCUGAAGAGGGUGAUGCUAAGUGCAGAGGGACAGGGCACCACAGCUGGAAAUUUAGGCUCUUGAUGUCUAAGAAGAAGGGCUUUGGAAGAGGCAGCAGGGUCUGUCCCAAGUCCUCCUGCUCACCCACUGAGUCCUACAGAUGCCACUUUGCUCAGUUUCCAGAGGGGACCCUCUGUUUCAGAUCCAGGCAUGGGGUCUGCUAUCAUCUUAUCUUGAAGUCAACAGCCCCGGGUUUGCAUUCAGCCCUCUGCU
Long non-coding RNA from Manis javanica (Malayan pangolin), 768 nucleotides. RefSeq lists it as uncharacterized. The record is from RefSeq and is a predicted model, not a curated record. NCBI's taxonomy places the organism in Eukaryota, Metazoa, Chordata, Mammalia, Pholidota, Manidae.